RNAcentral lists this ribosomal RNA (261 nucleotides) under uncultured prokaryote. Its description in RNAcentral is "partial 16S ribosomal RNA". It matches the Rfam family "Bacterial small subunit ribosomal RNA", at positions 524 to 784 of the family's 1533-position model. The record is from RNAcentral.
UACGUAGGGUGCGAGCGUUGUCCGGAAUUAUUGGGCGUAAAGAGCUUGUAGGCGGUUUGUCGCGUCUGCUGUGAAAAUCCGGGGCUCAACCCCGGACUUGCAGUGGGUACGGGCAGACUAGAGUGUGGUAGGGGAGAAUGGAAUUCCUGGUGUAGCGGUGAAAUGCGCAGAUAUCAGGAGGAACACCGAUGGCGAAGGCAGGUCUCUGGGCCACUACUGACGCUGAGAAGCGAAAGCAUGGGGAGCGAACAGGAUUAGAUA